CCUACGGGAGGCAGCAGUAAGGAAUAUUGGUCAAUGGACGGAAGUCUGAACCAGCCAUGCCGCGUGCAGGAAGACGGCCCUAUGGGUUGUAAACUGCUUUUGCAGGGGAAUAAACCUCGAUACGUGUAUCGAGCUGAAUGUACUCUGAGAAUAAGGAUCGGCUAACUCCGUGCCAGCAGCCGCGGUAAUACGGAGGAUCCAAGCGUUAUCCGGAUUUAUUGGGUUUAAAGGGUGCGUAGGUGGCCUGUUAAGUCAGGGGUGAAAGACGGUAGCUUAACUAUCGCAGUGCCCUUGAUACUGAUGGGCUUGAAUGAACUAGAGGUAGGCGGAAUGUGACAAGUAGCGGUGAAAUGCAUAGAUAUGUCACAGAACACCAAUUGCGAAGGCAGCUUACUAUGGUUUUAUUGACACUGAGGCACGAAAGCGUGGGGAUCAAACAGGAUUAGAUACCCUGGUAGUCCACGCCCUAAACGAUGAAUACUCGAUGUUGGCGAUAUACGGUCAGCGUCUAAGCGAAAGCGUUAAGUAUUCCACCUGGGGAAGUCGCCGCAAGGUGAAACUUAAAGGAAUUGAGGCGNGAGAGNGCGAGACGACGACGAGGAGGAGG
Molecule: ribosomal RNA, 607 nt
Filed under: uncultured bacterium
Lineage: Bacteria
Description: bacterial SSU rRNA
Rfam family: Bacterial small subunit ribosomal RNA
Source: RNAcentral